AACGAACGCUGGCGGCAUGCCUAACACAUGCAAGUCGAACGAGACCUUCGGGUCUAGUGGCGCACGGGUGCGUAACGCGUGGGAAUCUGCCCUUGGGUUCGGAAUAACAGUUGGAAACGACUGCUAAUACCGGAUGAUGACGUAAGUCCAAAGAUUUAUCGCCCAAGGAUGAGCCCGCGUAGGAUUAGCUAGUUGGUGAGGUAAAGGCCCACCAAGGCGACGAUCCUUAGCUGGUCUGAGAGGAUGAUCAGCCACACUGGGACUGAGACACGGCCCAGACUCCUACGGGAGGCAGCAGUGGGGAAUAUUGGACAAUGGGCGAAAGCCUGAUCCAGCAAUGCCGCGUGAGUGAUGAAGGCCUUAGGGUUGUAAAGCUCUUUUACCCGGGAUGAUAAUGACAGUACCGGGAGAAUAAGCUCCGGCUAACUCCGUG
This 433-nucleotide ribosomal RNA is filed under the name uncultured bacterium. Its description in RNAcentral is "partial 16S ribosomal RNA". It matches the Rfam family "Bacterial small subunit ribosomal RNA", at positions 29 to 507 of the family's 1533-position model. The record is from RNAcentral.